Molecule: ribosomal RNA, 208 nt
Filed under: Trieres chinensis
Lineage: Eukaryota; Bacillariophyta; Thalassiosirophyceae; Eupodiscales; Parodontellaceae
Description: partial Bacterial large subunit ribosomal RNA
Rfam family: Bacterial large subunit ribosomal RNA
Source: RNAcentral
UGCGUAACAGCUCACUAGUCGAGUGACUCUGCGCGGAAAAUACUCGGGCAUCAAAUAUAUCACCGAAGCUGUGGAUCAGAAAUGAUGGUAGGGGAGCAUUCUAAUGGCGGAGAAGCUGUGCUGUGAGGCAUGGUGGAGCGAUUAGAAAAGAAAAUGUAGGCAUGAGUAACGAUAAAACAGGUGAAAGUCCUGUUCACCGAAAGACCAA